AAUACAUCGGAACGUGUCCUGGAGUGGGGGAUAGCCCGGCGAAAGCCGGAUUAAUACCGCAUACGCUCUGAGGAGGAAAGCGGGGGAUCUUUCGGGACCUCGCGCUGCAGGGGCGGCCGAUGGCAGAUUAGCUAGUUGGUGGGGUAAAGGCCUACCAAGGCGACGAUCUGUAGCUGGUCUGAGAGGACGACCAGCCACACUGGGACUGAGACACGGCCCAGACUCCUACGGGAGGCAGCAGUGGGGAAUUUUGGACAAUGGGCGCAAGCCUGAUCCAGCAAUGCCGCGUGUGUGAAGAAGGCCUUCGGGUUGUAAAGCACUUUUGUCCGGAAAGAAAACUUCUGGGUUAAUACCCCGGGAGGAUGACGGUACCGGAAGAAUAAGCACCGGCUAACUACGUGCCAGCAGCCGCGGUAAUACGUAGGGUGCAAGCGUUAAUCGGAAUUACUGGGCGUAAAGCGUGCGCAGGCGGUUCGCUAAGACAGAUGUGAAAUCCCCGGGCUUAACCUGGGAACUGCAUUUGUGACUGGCGGGCUAGAGUAUGGCAGAGGGGGGUAGAAUUCCACGUGUAGCAGUGAAAUGCGUAGAGAUGUGGAGGAAUACCGAUGGCGAAGGCAGCCCCCUGGGCCAAUACUGACGCUCAUGCACGAAAGCGUGGGGAGCAAACAGGAUUAGAUACCCUGGUAGUCCACGCCCUAAACGAUGUCAACUAGUUGUCGGGUCUUCAUUGACUUGGUAACGUAGCUAACGCGUGAAGUUGACCGCCUGGGGAGUACGGUCGCAAGAUUAAAACUCAAAGGAAUUGACGG
RNAcentral lists this ribosomal RNA (809 nucleotides) under uncultured Burkholderia sp. RNAcentral's name for it is "bacterial SSU rRNA". It matches the Rfam family "Bacterial small subunit ribosomal RNA", at positions 112 to 916 of the family's 1533-position model. The record is from RNAcentral. Lineage: Bacteria; Pseudomonadati; Pseudomonadota; Betaproteobacteria; Burkholderiales; Burkholderiaceae.